Perca flavescens (yellow perch) is the source of this 1515-nucleotide long non-coding RNA. RefSeq lists it as uncharacterized. The transcript has 4 exons. The record is from RefSeq and is a predicted model, not a curated record. Lineage: Eukaryota; Metazoa; Chordata; Actinopteri; Perciformes; Percidae.
UUAGCUACAAAUUAUUGAUUGAUUUGGUAAGUAGUCGUGCAAUUAGCAUGAUAAUGUGACAUAAAUGUUUUAUAUUUGUUUCUGGCUGCCCAUCCAUUACAGGAUUAACACUUUCCUACUGCUGACACUAAACUAAAUAAAUAUUUGGAUGCUACAAACAAAGUUUGUAACAUAUCAACGUAAAACACUUUCAGAUUUAUCCUCUAACAACUCCAGGUGUGCUGCUGUACGUGGGUCUGCCUCUGGUGGUCCUGGUCCUGGUCCUGGUCUCUCUGUCUCUGCUGAUACUCUGCAGGAGGAGGAGGUCUAAAGCCAGAGGACGUCCCGUGGAAACCGAGUACGCUGUCACAGAGACCAGCCGAGUGUACGAGGACAUCAGAGAGGACGGACUGUCUCCUCCUGUAGAAAUCUCUUCAGUUUACUCUAGCGCCAAAUACUCCAAACCAAGCGCUGCUGAGACCAACGAUGACUACAGCGUUAUCACUGCAGCUAACCUUCAAAAUACAGCUGAAGAUGACUCUGAUGCUGCCCCCCCUGAAGAUGAUCCACCCGUCUACUCUACUGUUCAUUAGCUCCAACUCUGCCGCAGCCGUCCACACCCAGAACUACAACCAGAACUAGAAAUAUGUAUUUUUAAAUCGUUCUAACUCCACCACAAGUGUAACACCAGCAAGAGUAGUGAAUGUUAUCGUUGGGUAGGGCUGCUCCAUUAGGGAAUAAUCCUAAUCAAGUUUAUUUUAGUCAAUAUGGAAAUCAGGAUUAUUUAACAGGAUUACUUUUGGAAAGAAGUUGUUUAUUAUUGGAAUUGAAAUCAACAGUGAAAAAACCUUCAACUGGGACAUUUCCCUUAAAAUAAAUAAUAUAAAAAUAUAUUUAAAUGUUUUCAAGAAAGAACACAGGACAAAAUAAGAGUUUUCUCACAAGCGUAAUGUGCAGAAUGAUUGUUUUUCUUUCUUGAUGUAGAUUGUUGUGAUCAUUAGAUAUAGACUGGAUUAAUAACCCAGCCCUGUGUUUGAGAUCACUGUCACUGACAGCCAAUCAGAAUCAAUCUGCAUCUCCUGGAUGUCUGAGUGCUGUCGGCCCCACAUUAUCUUUCAUUCAUCUGAUCUUAUUCAUAAGAAGAUGAAGAAUAAGAAACAGUUGAAAUGUAUUCGCUGCUGAGCGUCUCUAAGACCUUCGUAUUCCUGAGUCACGAUUCAGACAUGACUUAAAUAUUGGUUUAAAACACUAGAUUUAUGAAUGGGUCUUUAAAAUCAGAAGACUCUCCUAACAGAGUUUGUUGGAUUCUCCAAACUUGAAUGUGUGAACCCAAAGCCUUUUUCUUUAUCUGCACAACGUAAAAAAGAAAUGUGUAAUGAAUCUGUGUGUUGUAGACCCCUGACACAGCAGAUCCUCCAUCAGGGUGGACCCUCACAUCGUUAUCGUUAUGGUUACGGUAGUCUUCCUCCACAGCGCUGCGGAGGAAGGUCUGGCUAGUCCUCACAGCAUUCCUUGAUGGAGAAAAACGUGCUCUGG